Prevotella intermedia 17 is the source of this 107-nucleotide non-coding RNA. Lineage: Bacteria; Pseudomonadati; Bacteroidota; Bacteroidia; Bacteroidales; Prevotellaceae. The record is from Rfam.
ACGAUAUGGGCAAGUCUCUUACGGUCAGCUCCCUUUUAAUCCCCCAGGACGGGAACGUAGCAAGGGCAGAAGGUUGUAGCGACGCGAUAAGAACAGCUUGCCCACCU